UACAGAGGUCUCAACCGUUGUUCGGAUUCAUUGGGCGUAAAGGGUGCGUAGGUGGCGCCGUAAGUCAGGUGUGAAAUCUCGGGGCUCAACCCCGAAACUGCACUUGAUACUGCGGUGCUCGAGUACUGGAGAGGAGAUUGGAAUUUACGGUGUAGCAGUGAAAUGCGUAGAUAUCGUAAGGAAGACCAGUGGCGAAGGCGAAUCUCUGGACAGUUACUGACACUGAGGCUCGAAGGCCAGGGGAGCAAACGGG
Molecule: ribosomal RNA, 253 nt
Filed under: uncultured bacterium
Lineage: Bacteria
Description: partial 16S ribosomal RNA
Rfam family: Bacterial small subunit ribosomal RNA
Source: RNAcentral